This 446-nucleotide ribosomal RNA is filed under the name uncultured bacterium. RNAcentral describes it as "partial 16S ribosomal RNA". It matches the Rfam family "Bacterial small subunit ribosomal RNA", at positions 354 to 796 of the family's 1533-position model. The record is from RNAcentral.
GUAAGGAAUAUUGGUCAAUGGGGGCAACCCUGAACCAGCCAUGCCGCGUGAAGGAUGAAGGCGUUAUGCGUUGUAAACUUCUUUUGUAUGGGAAGAAUGACAGGGAUUUAUCCUUGGAGAGACGGUACCAUACGAAUAAGCACCGGCUAACUCCGUGCCAGCAGCCGCGGUAAUACGGAGGGUGCAAGCGUUAUCCGGAAUCACUGGGUUUAAAGGGUACGUAGGCGGUUAAUUAAGUCAGUAGUGAAAGACUGUCGCUCAACGACGGAUGUGCUAUUGAUACUGGUUAACUUGAAUCAGGUUAGAGUUGGCGGAAUGGGUCAUGUAGCGGUGAAAUGCUUAGAUAUGACAUAGAACACCAAUUGCGAAGGCAGCUGGCUACACAUAUAUUGACACUGAGGCACGAAAGCGUGGGGAUCAAACAGGAUUAGAAACCCUUGUAGUCC